AUUGAACGCUGGCGGCAGGCCUAACACAUGCAAGUCGAACGAGUGGCGGACGGGUGAGUAAUGUCUGGGAAACUGCCCGAUGGAGGGGGAUAACUACUGGAAACGGUAGCUAAUACCGCAUACCAUCGGAUGUGCCCAGAUGGGAUUGGCUAGUAGGUGGGGUAACGGCUCACCUAGGCGACGAUCCCUAGCUGGUCUGAGAGGAUGACCAGCAAACAUGGAACAGAGACACGGGCGAGACUCCUACGGGAGGAAGGAGGGUGGAAUAUUGCACAAUGGGCGCAAGCCUGAUGCAGACAUGACGCGUGUAUGAAGAAGGCCUUCGGGUUGUAAAGUACUUUCAGCGAGGAGGCGUUACUAGCAGAAUAAGCACCGGCUAACUCCGUGCCAGCAGCCGCGGUAAUUC
RNAcentral lists this ribosomal RNA (406 nucleotides) under uncultured bacterium. RNAcentral describes it as "partial 16S ribosomal RNA". It matches the Rfam family "Bacterial small subunit ribosomal RNA", at positions 30 to 526 of the family's 1533-position model. The record is from RNAcentral.